This 460-nucleotide ribosomal RNA is filed under the name uncultured bacterium. RNAcentral's name for it is "partial 16S ribosomal RNA". It matches the Rfam family "Bacterial small subunit ribosomal RNA", at positions 338 to 795 of the family's 1533-position model. The record is from RNAcentral.
CCUACGGGAGGCUGCAGUGAGGAAUAUUGGUCAAUGGACGCAAGUCUGAACCAGCCAUGCAGCGUGAAGGAAGACGGCUCUAUGGGUUGUAAACUGCUUUUGUACGGGGGUAAACGCAGAUACGCGUAUCUGUUUGAAAGUAUCGUACGAAUAAGGAUCGGCUAACUCCGUGCCAGCAGCCGCGGUAAUACGGAGGAUUCGAGCGUUAUCCGGAUUUAUUGGGUUUAAAGGGAGCGUAGGCGGGUGGAUAAGUUAGAGGUGAAAUCCCGAGGCUCAACCUCGGAAUUGCAUUUGAUACUGGCAGGCUUGAGAGUAGUUGCGGUAGGCGGAAUGCAUGGUGUAGCGGUGAAAUGCUUAGAGAUCAUACAGAACACCGAUUGCGAAGGCAGCUUACCAAGCUACUACUGACGUUGAGGCACGAAAGCGUGGGGAGCAAACAGGAUUAGAUACCCCAGUAGUC